RNAcentral lists this ribosomal RNA (775 nucleotides) under uncultured Neocallimastigales. RNAcentral describes it as "partial large subunit ribosomal RNA". It matches the Rfam family "Eukaryotic large subunit ribosomal RNA", at positions 23 to 634 of the family's 3401-position model. Lineage: Eukaryota; Fungi; Neocallimastigomycota; Neocallimastigomycetes; Neocallimastigales. The record is from RNAcentral.
AGAGAGAGACAUGCGCGCAUAUCAAUAAGCGGAGGAAAAGAAACUAACUAGGAUUCCCUCAGUAACGGCGAGUGAAGCGGGAAGAGCUCAAAUUUGAAAUCUUAAAGGGUUCUACCUUGACGAAUUGUAGUUUAAAGAAGUGUUUUCUGUUGGAGUUUUGGUAAAAGUUCUUUGGAAUAGGACAUCAUAGAGGGUGAGAAUCCCGUAUUUGACCAUUAUUUCCAGCUUUGUGAUACACUUUCAAAGAGUCGGAUUGUUUGGGAAUGCAGUCCAAAAUGGGUGGUAAAUUUCAUCUAAAGCUAAAUAUUGGCGAGAGACCGAUAGCGAACAAGUACCGUGAGGGAAAGAUGAAAAGAACUUUGAAAAGAGAGUUAAACAGUACGUGAAAUUGUCAAAAGGGAAGCGUUUGACACCAGUGUUGUUUUCUCGAAAAUCAAUUAAAAAAGGCAGGAUUUUGUGUUGUAUUGACUUUAUCAGCUUUCUGCACUCUUUUCUUGUCUUUUUUAAUGCACUUUUCGUUUAACAAGUCAACAUCAAUUUCUUUUGUUGUAAAAGGGUCAUUGGAAGGUGGCUUUCUUUUCGGAGAAAGUGUUUAUAGCCUUUGACUCCUGCAAUCGGAGAGACUGAGGUCUGCAGCGUAGAUCCUUCGGGGUUAGAUACAUUUGUGCUAAGUUAUAGUCUUUCAUAGACAACUUGUUGACUAUGAUCAGUCAUGUAGCUUACUCGCUUAUGCUAUUUUACCUACGCUUAGGAUGUUGAUGUGAUACUGCGAGCA